RNAcentral lists this ribosomal RNA (433 nucleotides) under uncultured bacterium. RNAcentral's name for it is "partial 16S ribosomal RNA". It matches the Rfam family "Bacterial small subunit ribosomal RNA", at positions 29 to 507 of the family's 1533-position model. The record is from RNAcentral.
AACGAACGCUGGCGGCAUGCCUAACACAUGCAAGUCGAACAAGACCUUCGGGUCUAGUGGCGCACGGGUGCGUAACGCGUGGGAACCUGCCCUUAGGUUCGGAAUAACUCCCCGAAAGGGGUGCUAAUACCGGAUAAUGUCUUCGGACCAAAGAUUUAUCGCCUUUGGAUGGGCCCGCGUUGGAUUAGCUAGUUGGUAGGGUAAAAGCCUACCAAGGCGACGAUCCAUAGCUGGUAUGAGAGGAUGAUCAGCCACACUGGGACUGAGAAACGGCCCGGACUCCUACGGGAGGCAGCAGAGGGGGAUAGUGGAAAACGGGCGGAGGCCUGAUCCGGCAAUGCCGGGUGAAUGAUGAAGGCCUUAGGGUAGUAAAGCGCUUUUAACCGGGAUGAUAAUGACGGUACCGGGAGAAUAAGCCCCGGCUAACUCCGUG